UGCAGGAAAGUAGCUCAGUUGGUAGAGCAUGAGAUUCUUAAUCUUGGGGUCUUGGGUUCGAGCCCCACAUUGGGCAA
Molecule: non-coding RNA, 77 nt
Organism: Podarcis lilfordi (Lilford's wall lizard)
Lineage: Eukaryota; Metazoa; Chordata; Lepidosauria; Squamata; Lacertidae
Source: the annotation of a GenBank genome assembly